This 253-nucleotide ribosomal RNA is filed under the name uncultured bacterium. RNAcentral describes it as "partial 16S ribosomal RNA". It matches the Rfam family "Bacterial small subunit ribosomal RNA", at positions 524 to 776 of the family's 1533-position model. The record is from RNAcentral.
UACGUAGGGGGCAAGCGUUGUCCGGAUUUAUUGGGCGUAAAGAGCGUGUAGGCGGCCAUGCAGGUCCGUUGUGAAAACUCGAGGCUCAACCUCGAGACGUCGGUGGAAACCGCAUGGCUAGAGUCCGGAAGAGGAGAAUGGAAUUCCUGGUGUAGCGGUGAAAUGCGCAGAUAUCAGGAAGAACACCCGUGGCGAAGGCGGUUCUCUGGGACGGUACUGACGCUGAGACGCGAAAGCGUGGGGAGCGAACAGG